This 253-nucleotide ribosomal RNA is filed under the name uncultured bacterium. Its description in RNAcentral is "partial 16S ribosomal RNA". It matches the Rfam family "Bacterial small subunit ribosomal RNA", at positions 524 to 776 of the family's 1533-position model. The record is from RNAcentral.
UACGUAGGGGGCAAGCGUUGUCCGGAUUUAUUGGGCGUAAAGAGCGUGUAGGCGGCCAGGUAGGUCAGCUGUGAAAACUCGAGGCUCAACCUCGAGAUGUCGGCUGAAACCAUCUGGCUAGAGUCCGGAAGAGGAGAAUGGAAUUCCCGGUGUAGCGGUGAAAUGCGCGGAUAUCGGGAAGAACACCCGUGGCGAAGGCGGUUCUCUGGGACGGUACUGACGCUGAGACGCGAAAGCGUGGGGAGCGAACAGG